GUGAGGAAUAUUGGACAAUGGGCGCAAGCCUGAUCCAGCCAUGCCGCGUGCAGGAAGACGCAUCUAUGGUGUGUAAACUGCUUUUGUACGGGAAGAAACACUCCCUCGUGAGGGAGCUUGACGGUACCGUAAGAAUAAGGAUCGGCUAACUCCGUGCCAGCAGCCGCGGUAAUACGGAGGAUCCAAGCGUUAUCCGGAAUCAUUGGGUUUAAAGGGUCCGUAGGCGGUUUAAUAAGUCAGUGGUGAAAGCCCAUCGCUCAACGAUGGAACGGCCAUUGAUACUGUUAGACUAGAAUUACAAGGAAGUAACUAGAAUAUGUAGUGUAGCGGUGAAAUGCUUAGAUAUUACAUGGAAUACCAAUUGCGAAGGCAGGUUACUACUUGUGGAUUGACGCUGAUGGACGAAAGCGUGGGGAGCGAACAGGAUUAGAUACCCCAGUAGUCC
This 445-nucleotide ribosomal RNA is filed under the name uncultured bacterium. RNAcentral's name for it is "partial 16S ribosomal RNA". It matches the Rfam family "Bacterial small subunit ribosomal RNA", at positions 354 to 796 of the family's 1533-position model. The record is from RNAcentral.